This 454-nucleotide unclassified non-coding RNA is filed under the name Pyricularia oryzae. RNAcentral's name for it is "partial contains ITS1, 5.8S rRNA, ITS2". The stretch from base 126 to 279 matches the Rfam family "5.8S ribosomal RNA". Lineage: Eukaryota; Fungi; Ascomycota; Sordariomycetes; Magnaporthales; Pyriculariaceae. The record is from RNAcentral.
CUGAGUUGAAAAACUCCCAACCCCUGUGAACAUAACCUCUGUCGUUGCUUCGGCGGGCACGCCCGCCGGAGGUUCAAAACUCUUAUUUUUUUCAGUAUCUCUGAGCCUAAAAGACAAAUAAUCAAAACUUUCAACAACGGAUCUCUUGGUUCUGGCAUCGAUGAAGAACGCAGCGAAAUGCGAUAAGUAAUGUGAAUUGCAGAAUUCAGUGAAUCAUCGAAUCUUUGAACGCACAUUGCGCCCGCCGGUAUUCCGGCGGGCAUGCCUGUUCGAGCGUCAUUUCAACCCUCAAGCCUCGGCUUGGUGUUGGGGCGCCCGGGCCCUCCGCGGCCCGGGGCCCCCAAGUUCAUCGGCGGGCUCGUCGGUACACUGAGCGCAGUAAAACGCGGUAAAACGCGAACCUCGUUCGGAUCGUCCCGGCGUGCUCCAGCCGCUAAACCCCCAAUUCUUUAAA